This 135-nucleotide ribosomal RNA is filed under the name Melaleuca viridiflora. RNAcentral describes it as "5.8S ribosomal RNA". It matches the Rfam family "5.8S ribosomal RNA", at positions 26 to 154 of the family's 154-position model. From Rfam's summary of the family: 5.8S ribosomal RNA (5.8S rRNA) is a component of the large subunit of the eukaryotic ribosome. The record is from RNAcentral. Lineage: Eukaryota; Viridiplantae; Streptophyta; Magnoliopsida; Myrtales; Myrtaceae. RNAcentral also lists the same sequence under 6 other names.
UCUCGCAUCGAUGAAGAACGUAGCGAACUGCGAUACUUGGUGUGAAUUGCAGAAUCCCGUGAACCAUCGAGUCUUUGAACGCAAGUUGCGCCCAUAACCAUCUGGUGAGGGCACGUUUGCCUGGGUGUCACACAU